This 73-nucleotide transfer RNA is filed under the name Myotis brandtii (Brandt's bat). It matches the Rfam family "tRNA". From Rfam's summary of the family: Transfer RNA (tRNA) molecules are approximately 80 nucleotides in length. Their secondary structure includes four short double-helical elements and three loops (D, anti-codon, and T loops). The record is from Rfam by way of RNAcentral. Lineage: Eukaryota; Metazoa; Chordata; Mammalia; Chiroptera; Vespertilionidae.
GCCGGUGUGGCUCAGUGGGUAGAGCGUCGGCCUGUGGACUGAAGGGUCCUGGGUUCAAUUCCGGGCAAGGGCA